RNAcentral lists this ribosomal RNA (252 nucleotides) under uncultured bacterium. RNAcentral's name for it is "partial 16S ribosomal RNA". It matches the Rfam family "Bacterial small subunit ribosomal RNA", at positions 30 to 289 of the family's 1533-position model. The record is from RNAcentral.
UUGAACGCUGGCGGCAUGCCUUACACAUGCAAGUCGAACGGUAGAGGGGCAACCCUUGAGAGUGGCGAACGGGUGAGUAAUAUAUCGGAACGUGCCCAAUCGUGGGGGAUAACGCAGCGAAAGCUGCGCUAAUACCGCAUACGAUCUAUGGAUGAAAGCGGGGGAUCGCAAGACCUCGCGCGAUUGGAGCGGCCGAUAUCAGAUUAGGUAGUUGGUGGGGUAAAAGCCCACCAAGCCGACGAUCUGUAGCUG